This 367-nucleotide RNase P RNA is filed under the name Allosphingosinicella humi. RNAcentral's name for it is "Sphingosinicella humi Bacterial RNase P class A". It matches the Rfam family "Bacterial RNase P class A". From Rfam's summary of the family: Ribonuclease P (RNase P) is a ubiquitous endoribonuclease, found in archaea, bacteria and eukarya as well as chloroplasts and mitochondria. Its best characterised activity is the generation of mature 5'-ends of tRNAs by cleaving the 5'-leader elements of precursor-tRNAs. The record is from Rfam by way of RNAcentral. Lineage: Bacteria; Pseudomonadati; Pseudomonadota; Alphaproteobacteria; Sphingomonadales; Sphingomicrobiaceae.
CCAGAGGGUCGGGCGGCCGCGGCUCGCGCUAGCGAGGCGAGGAAAGUCCGGGCUCCACGGAACGACGGUGCCGGGUAAUGCCCGGCGGGGGUGACCCCAGGGACAGUGCAACAGAAAGCAAACCGCCGGUCUUCGGGCCGGCAAGGUCGAAAGGGUGCGGUAAGAGCGCACCGCGCCUCCGGCAACGGAAGGCGGCACGGUAAACCCCACCGGGAGCAAGACCGAAUAGGGGCGGCAUAUGGGCCAUGUUCCGGCUCGUCGCCCGGGUUGGUUGCUGGAGGGGCGGAGCGAUCCGCCUCCUAGAGGAAUGGUCGCACAGGCGGAGUGAUCCGCUGGACAGAACCCGGCUUACAGACCCUCUGGCGCU